GGGGAUUUAGCUCAGUGGUAGAGCACUUGCCUAGCAAGCGCACAACCCUGGGUUCGGUCCCCAGCUCCG
RNAcentral lists this transfer RNA (69 nucleotides) under Rattus norvegicus (Norway rat). It matches the Rfam family "tRNA". Rfam says of the family: Transfer RNA (tRNA) molecules are approximately 80 nucleotides in length. Their secondary structure includes four short double-helical elements and three loops (D, anti-codon, and T loops). The record is from Rfam by way of RNAcentral. Lineage: Eukaryota; Metazoa; Chordata; Mammalia; Rodentia; Muridae.